Molecule: long non-coding RNA, 324 nt
Filed under: Nicotiana benthamiana
Lineage: Eukaryota; Viridiplantae; Streptophyta; Magnoliopsida; Solanales; Solanaceae
Description: long non-coding RNA (NBEN_LNC029264)
Source: RNAcentral
AAGAACCCUAACAUGGUUGAAACCAUCAUCGAUCUUUUCGAUCUCAGAAAAAUCCCAAAUUUCGUUCAAAAAAUAGUUCAGAUGAACUAUUGAUUCGCACGAUAAUAUCACCGGAUCAUUGUACCAGCUCUGAUACCAUGAAAACAUACAGAAUAUCGGAAGAAAUUUAGAGAGAGAAAGUAGAGAGAAGGGAGAGCAUCGUGGAGUCUUGAAGAAGACUCAAAGUCUUUCAAUCAGAAAAAUGACCCGCUGUCUCAGACAAAUGACCCCUACCCCUAUAUCAAAAUGACCCCUUACAAUAAUAGCCUAUUUACAUGACAUAGC